Molecule: ribosomal RNA, 427 nt
Filed under: uncultured bacterium
Lineage: Bacteria
Description: partial 16S ribosomal RNA
Rfam family: Bacterial small subunit ribosomal RNA
Source: RNAcentral
GGGGGAAUAUUGGACAAUGGGCGAAAGCCUGAUCCAGCCAUGCCGCGUGGGUGAAGAAGGUCUUCGGAUUGUAAAGCACUUUAAGUUGGGAGGAAGGGCAUUAACCUAAUACGUUAGUGUUUUGACGUUACCGACAGAAUAAGCACCGGCUAACUCUGUGCCAGCAGCCGCGGUAAUACAGAGGGUGCAAGCGUUAAUCGGAAUUACUGGGCGUAAAGCGCGCGUAGGUGGUUUGUUAAGUUGGAUGUGAAAUCCCCGGGCUCAACCUGGGAACUGCAUUCAAAACUGACUGACUAGAGUAUGGUAGAGGGUGGUGGAAUUUCCUGUGUAGCGGUGAAAUGCGUAGAUAUAGGAAGGAACACCAGUGGCGAAGGCGACCACCUGGACUAAUACUGACACUGAGGUGCGAAAGCGUGGGGAGCAAACA